GAGCUUGCUCCCUGGGUGGCGAGUGGCGGACGGGUGAGGAAUACGUCGGAAUCUGCCUUUUUGUGGGGGAUAACGUAGGGAAACUUACGCUAAUACCGCAUACGACCUUCGGGUGAAAGUGGGGGACCGCAAGGCCUCACGCAGAUAGAUGAGCCGACGUCGGAUUAGCUAGUUGGCGGGGUAAAGGCCCACCAAGGCGACGAUCCGUAGCUGGUCUGAGAGGAUGAUCAGCCACACUGGAACUGAGACACGGUCCAGACUCCUACGGGAGGCAGCAGUGGGGAAUAUUGGACAAUGGGCGCAAGCCUGAUCCAGCCAUGCCGCGUGGGUGAAGAAGGCCUUCGGGUUGUAAAGCCCUUUUGUUGGGAAAGAAAACUUUCCGAUUAAUACUCGGAGAGAAUGACGGUACCCAAAGAAUAAGCACCGGCUAACUUCGUGCCAGCAGCCGCGGUAAUACGAAGGGUGCAAGCGUUACUCGGAAUUACUGGGCGUAAAGCGUGCGUAGGUGGUUCGUUAAGUCUGAUGUGAAAGCCCUGGGCUCAACCUGGGAAUUGCAUUGGAUACUGGCGGGCUAGAGUACGG
Molecule: ribosomal RNA, 582 nt
Filed under: Lysobacter sp. CH21
Lineage: Bacteria; Pseudomonadati; Pseudomonadota; Gammaproteobacteria; Lysobacterales; Lysobacteraceae
Description: bacterial SSU rRNA
Rfam family: Bacterial small subunit ribosomal RNA
Source: RNAcentral